UACGUAGGGCGCAAGCGUUAUCCGGAAUUAUUGGGCGUAAAGAGCUCGUAGGCGGUUUGUCGCGUCUGCCGUGAAAGUCCGGGGCUCAACUCCGGAUCUGCGGUGGGUACGGGCAGACUAGAGUGAUGUAGGGGAGACUGGAAUUCUCGGUGUAGCAGUGAAAUGCGUAGAUAUCGAGAGGAACACCAGUGGCGAAGGCGAGUCUCUGGACAUUUCCUGACGCUGAGGCACGAAAGCCAGGGGAGCAAACGGG
This 253-nucleotide ribosomal RNA is filed under the name uncultured bacterium. RNAcentral describes it as "partial 16S ribosomal RNA". It matches the Rfam family "Bacterial small subunit ribosomal RNA", at positions 524 to 776 of the family's 1533-position model. The record is from RNAcentral.